Carlito syrichta (Philippine tarsier) is the source of this 984-nucleotide RNA transcript. It is a transcript of the gene named RRP15-like protein pseudogene, with no coding region annotated. Lineage: Eukaryota; Metazoa; Chordata; Mammalia; Primates; Tarsiidae. The record is from RefSeq and is a predicted model, not a curated record. The transcript has a single exon.
AAGCUAAAAAAGCCCCCAAAGAAGAAGAUGAAAAUGGUAGCAAGAACCGUAUCAUCGGAGCUGGAAGACGAGGCCAAAGAUGCUUCAGACGGCGAAGGUUCUAUAGGAAGCUGUGGAUUGGAAAAGGAUUACUUUUCUUCCGAUGAUGAAGCAAUAGAGGUUGACAAUGAAGAUGAUGUUCAGCCCUGUGACAAAGAAAAUAAAAAUGCCGUAGAAUCAAGUGUUGGGACUAAUACAGGCUGGGCAGAUGCCAUGGCUAAAAUCCUUAACAAAAAAACUCCUAAAAGUAAAUCCACCAUUCUGGUAAAAAAAAAAUAAAGGGCUGGAGAAGGAAAAAGAAAAGUUAAAACAAGAAAGAAUAGAGGAAAAAAAACAGCAUGAUAAGAAGCUGGAGUGGGAAAUGUUGCACAGAGUAAAGCCAGAUGUUGUCCAAGACAAAGAGACAGAAAGAAAUUCAGAGAAUUGCAACGAGGGGUGUGGUACAAUUAUUUAAUGCUGUUCAGACACAUCAAAAGAACGUUGAUGAAAAAGUUAAAGAAGCUGGAAGCUCUAUUAGAAAGUGUGCUAAGUUGACAUCAACUGUUUCCAAGAAAGAUUUCAUUAGCGUUUUGAGAGGAAUGGAUGGAAGUACAAAUGAGACAAGUUCUACUGUGAAGAGUCCAAAAGCCAAACAGACUGAAGUGAAAUCAGAAGAGGCCCAGGACUGGAAAAUCCUGUGUGAGGAUUUCAUGAUGGGAGCAUCUAUGAAAGACUGGGGCAAGGAAAGUGAUGUACCAGAUGACAGCAGACCAGAAUCUGCAAGUGACUCUGAUACAUAAAGCAUUGUAGAAAAUAAAAUUUGCAAUCAUUUUAUUUUUUCUAGAAAAAUAAUUCAUCCUCUGAUAGGUGGGGAGUUAUAAGGAUACCACUUGUAAGAAAGCAAAAAGACUUUUACCAGCUUUGGUAUUACCCCUUUUCACUUACACUUUAUUAAAAUUAUAUUUU